AGAGUUUGAUCAUGGCUCAGGAUGAACGCUAGCGGCAGGCUUAAUACAUGCAAGUCAGGGGCAGCACGGUUAGCAAUAACUGGUGGCGACCGGCACACGGGUGCGUAACACGUAUACAAUCUACCUUAAACAGGGGGAUAGCCUUUCGAAAGAGAGAUUAAUACCCCGUAAUAAAUUGAACGGCAUCGUUUGAUUUUGAAAGCUCCGGCGGUUUGAGAUGAGUAUGCGUCUGAUUAGCUAGUUGGUGAGGUAACGGCUCACCAAGGCGACGAUCAGUAGGGGACCUGAGAGGACUAACCCCCACACUGGUACUGAGACACGGACCAGACUCCUACGGGAGGCAGCAGUAAGGAAUAUUGGUCAAUGGAGGCAACUCUGAACCAGCCAUGCCGCGUGCAGGAUGACGGCCCUAUGGGUUGUAAACUGCUUUUAUACAAGAGAAAACCCUGGUACGUGUACCAGGUUGAUAGUAUUGUAAGAAUAAGCAUCGGCUAACUUCGUG
RNAcentral lists this ribosomal RNA (502 nucleotides) under uncultured bacterium. RNAcentral's name for it is "bacterial SSU rRNA". It matches the Rfam family "Bacterial small subunit ribosomal RNA", at positions 8 to 507 of the family's 1533-position model. The record is from RNAcentral.